This is a long non-coding RNA of Magallana angulata, 339 nucleotides long. RefSeq lists it as uncharacterized. The record is from RefSeq and is a predicted model, not a curated record. The transcript has 2 exons. NCBI's taxonomy places the organism in Eukaryota, Metazoa, Mollusca, Bivalvia, Ostreida, Ostreidae.
UGUGUGGACGUGUCUGUACUCUUGGUGAGAUAUCUUGGGCGUUUCCCAUGCUGUGUGAUCUUGGGAACGGCAUCCCUGUGUGGGCUUAUUUGUGUGAGAGAGAUACAACCCAGUGACCACGGAGUGGGCACGUGCACGUGGUGGACCAUGUUAUAUCCGUGGAAGGACUUAUGGUGGGACAAUUAAUAUCCAAACCAAAAACUUAUGCUUUCCCAGUCCUACGGAACUUACCUUAUGUGAGACGUCUUGUCGAAUGCCAUCUAGUCCAUCCGAUAGAACUGAUGUCAACAACCUCCUAAUUAUUGUAUAUUUGUAAAUAAAUUGUGUUUGUUUUGUAAA